Long non-coding RNA from Aphis gossypii (cotton aphid), 1385 nucleotides. RefSeq lists it as uncharacterized. The transcript is spliced from 4 exons. Lineage: Eukaryota; Metazoa; Arthropoda; Insecta; Hemiptera; Aphididae. The record is from RefSeq and is a predicted model, not a curated record.
UAUACUUUUUGAAAUAAUUAGUGUUGUUUGAAAAAACAAAAUCAACUCUGUAAUCUGUAUACUAGGUAACUUUAAAAUAAUAUUAUAUUAUUAUCUAAAUUUUGACGACAAUAUAAUAUAGUGAUAAACUGAUAACUGAUAAUGAUAAUUACUAAUUAAUAUUAUUUUAAAUGAAUACUAACACUAAACGACAAAAAAUAUAAAAAAUAGACAAUUAUUUGUAAAAAUUCUUAAGAAUUUGAGACAGUACUGAUCGCCGUUCAGCCACAACCAUUUUCAAAAUGUUAUCACAUCGCCAUUCGCCAGUCAAAGUGAACGCUAUAUACCUCGAGUACUCAUCACCAGCGACUACACUAGAAGAAUGUCAUGAUUAGCUAAGUAAGUUAAUCAUGGAGAAUGUUUAGGAUGUCGACCGUUGCAUUGAACGUGUGAAAAAUCAGAAGAUGAACGGGCCACAUAUGAGCAACUGUGAAUGGAUGUUGUGAAGUAGAGGUGAAAUAAAUAAAUGGCCAAACGUUUUUUGUACCUACAUGACGUAUUGUACUUAUUAUAAGAUAUCAGAGCAUGUAGAAUAUUGUAGUACACUCGGAGAGACCCAAUAAAUACCAACUCCACUUACAGAGAGAGUAAAAGUAUCACUACUAUCAUCUACUGCACUAACAAGUACAGCCAUAAGUUUGCAUAUUAUAAUGUCAAAGGUGAACUAGUUGUUUCACGCUGGUUUUGAUCUGUAAAAAUAAAGUGUGGCAAAAUUGAAUAAACAAUCCAGGACUAGAUUGUUUUUAAUCUAACAACAUAACUUAGACAAACCAAACAAGACGACACAAACAGCUGCAAUGCAAAAAUCGAGGAAACAACCUAUCAAGCAACACAAAUCAACAAAUCGAUAAAUCAAGGAAACUACACAGCGAAAAAGAGGACAUAUGAUAUGAUCAACAAAAUAUUAUUUUAUUUUUUGUUAAAAAACCCGUAAAAUAGCUCUUCCAUUAUACAAUAUUACUUUAUAUGUAAUAAUAUGUUCCUAUAAGAUUUUGGUAAAAUUAAAAUAACCUUAAAAUUUUCUAAAUCUAAAUUUAAAAAUUUUUUUUUAUAUCUUAACGAGUAUACUCAAUUUUCAUUUUGAAUUGUUAAAAAUCAUUAAAUUUUCUUCUCACACAUUUGAAACAUUUGAAAUUAUUACCAUUAGUUUCAGGAUAAAAUGUAUACCAAUUAUUAUAUCAUUUAAUAUGAAACAUUUUCAUUGUAAAAUUUUCUUAAUCUAAGAAAACAUAUUUUAUAUCUCAAUACCUCGAGCAUACUCAUCAGACAAAACCAUCUAGUUAUGAUAUUAUUGUAUUAUCUAAUUUAUAUAUUUAUAUUAUAAUUAUACAUUUACUAAUUUAAUU